CGAGAGCUCGGUGAGGGGUCUGAGAGCUGGGGGGAAGGGUGAAGAUGGAAGAUGGAGGCCUUGUGUGGAGGGGUCCUUAGUAGAAGAGAUGGGGUUUCACUAUGUCACCCAGGCUGGUCUCGAACUACCGGACUCAAGCAAUCCUCCAUCUCUCGGCUUCCCAAAGUGCUGGGAUUUCAGGUGUGAGCCACCACACCUGGCCUCUCACAGCCCCAUGUGUGGUGCUGGAGAGGACCCUGAGCAACUGAGUGGAGUAUCUGUGCUCCUCCCCUUGAAGAAUUAGGUUGAAUGCUGAAGGGUCUAUCUGCUGGUGGUUCCUUGGCUAGGGAUUUCUUCAGUCAAGUGUUUCCCUUGGCUUUGCCAGGCCAUCAGAAAAAGGUGAAAGUCUGUCAAACGAGGAGGAAAGCACUCAAGAUUUUGGAAAUACUCACCCAAGUG
Symphalangus syndactylus (siamang) is the source of this 438-nucleotide long non-coding RNA. RefSeq lists it as uncharacterized. The record is from RefSeq and is a predicted model, not a curated record. Lineage: Eukaryota; Metazoa; Chordata; Mammalia; Primates; Hylobatidae.